AUGAACGCUGGCGGCGUGCCUAAUACAUGCAAGUCGAGCGAACAGAUGAGGAGCUUGCUCCUCUGACGUUAGCGGCGGCCGGGUGAGUAACACGUGGAUAACCUACCUAUAAGACUGGGAUAACUUCGGGAAACCGGAGCUAAUACCGGAUAAUAUAUUGAACCGCAUGGUUCAAUAGUGAAAGACGGUUUUGCUGUCACUUAUAGAUGGAUCCGCGCCGCAUUAGCUAGUUGGUAAGGUAACGGCUUACCAAGGCGACGAUGCGUAGCCGACCUGAGAGGGUGAUCGGCCACACUGGAACUGAGACACGGUCCAGACUCCUACGGGAGGCAGCAGUAGGGAAUCUUCCGCAAUGGGCGAAAGCCUGACGGAGCAACGCCGCGUGAGUGAUGAAGGUCUUCGGAUCGUAAAACUCUGUUAUUAGGGAAGAACAAAUGUGUAAGUAACUAUGCACGUCUUGACGGUACCUAAUCAGAAAGCCACGGCUAACUACGUG
This 496-nucleotide ribosomal RNA is filed under the name uncultured bacterium. RNAcentral's name for it is "partial 16S ribosomal RNA". It matches the Rfam family "Bacterial small subunit ribosomal RNA", at positions 29 to 507 of the family's 1533-position model. The record is from RNAcentral.